RNAcentral lists this ribosomal RNA (127 nucleotides) under Brevibacillus laterosporus. RNAcentral's name for it is "partial 16S ribosomal RNA". It matches the Rfam family "Bacterial small subunit ribosomal RNA", at positions 1416 to 1533 of the family's 1533-position model. Lineage: Bacteria; Bacillati; Bacillota; Bacilli; Caryophanales; Paenibacillaceae. The record is from RNAcentral.
AACACCCGAAGUCGGUGAGGUAACCGUAAGGAGCCAGCCGCCGAAGGUGGGGUAGAUAACUGGGGUGAAGUCGUAACAAGGUAUCCGUACCGGAAGGUGCGGAUGGAUCACCUCCUUUCUAUGGAGA